UACAGAGGCCCCAAGCGUUACUGAGAAUCACUGGGUUUAAAGGGUGCGUAGGUGGCGCGUUAAGUCCGUUGUGAAAUCCCUUGGCUCAACCAAGGAAUGGCUUCGGAUACUGGCGUGCUUGAGGCCGGUAAGGGUCACUGGAACUGACGGUGGAGCGGUGAAAUGCGUAGAUAUCGUCAGGAACGCCAAUGGUGAAGACAGGUGACUGGGCCGGUACUGACACUGAGGCACGAAAGCGUGGGGAG
This 245-nucleotide ribosomal RNA is filed under the name uncultured bacterium. Its description in RNAcentral is "partial 16S ribosomal RNA". It matches the Rfam family "Bacterial small subunit ribosomal RNA", at positions 524 to 768 of the family's 1533-position model. The record is from RNAcentral.